Non-coding RNA from Salvelinus sp. IW2-2015, 934 nucleotides. The record is from RefSeq and is a predicted model, not a curated record. Lineage: Eukaryota; Metazoa; Chordata; Actinopteri; Salmoniformes; Salmonidae.
CACUAAGCUAACUACCUUCAUAACCAAGAGGACAUAGACGAACAGCCUUAGGAGAGUUGAGCACCUAUCAGAUCCUCUGCUGUCCUUCACCCCUCGGUGCAGUCUGCUGACCAUCGCUGGGGCCAGGAAAAAGUCUGUCAACCGAGGUUCCAGGUGAUCUCCCAUCUUCUUCAUAGUGGCCUCAGCUGGACUCCACUGCAUAACCUCUUGGUCAGCUGGAAACCCACCGCAUAACCUCUAGCCAGGUGAAUCAAGAGCUUCACCAGAGACGGAAGAGGAAGCGAGACAACCUGCCAUUCCUACGUCACUGCCUUAUCCGCUUGUUGCCCUAAUCCAGUCCCCCAUCAGUACACAUUUUUAUUGUAGCCCCAGACAAGCACAUCUGAUUCAACUUGUCAACUAAUCAUCAAGCCCUUGAGUUGAAUGAGGUGUGUUUGUCCGGGGGCUACAAUGAAAAUGUGUACGGCUAGGGGUACUUGAAGACCGGAGUUGGUAAACAACGAGGGAGUUCUAUUAACCUGAGCCGCGGUGCACUGGUCUAUGACCCAUGGCGUGAAAGGGAAAAAGCGGUGAGGGAGGAGUGUCCUUCUCAAAUCUAACAGUAAUUUGUGCCACUGUCAUGUUGUCGACAAGGCAGCAUGGUGCAUCUUUCAGAAACACAUUUUUUUCCCAUAAAAUGUUUGAAUUUUCAAACUAGUUAUUUUCAUUGUGAUUGCAGAUAAUGCGUUUUUAUCAAAAGCAAUCACUUUCACAUGUGAAAACACGGUCCUACUCAUUACUCCAUGUGCUUGGUCUAGCCUACAGUAGGCAAUCUCUUUUCACCCGCUGCAAACAGAGGUGCUCGACACUAAGCACAUGUGGACUGACUACAGGUUAUAAAGAGGCAGAGGUUGUGAACUGCAAGGUGAGAGACAGACCUUAGUUAAAGGGAUAC